Trachymyrmex cornetzi is the source of this 377-nucleotide long non-coding RNA. RefSeq lists it as uncharacterized. NCBI's taxonomy places the organism in Eukaryota, Metazoa, Arthropoda, Insecta, Hymenoptera, Formicidae. The record is from RefSeq and is a predicted model, not a curated record. The transcript has 3 exons.
AACUCAUACCAAGGAGCCAAGGAGGUCGAAGAUUCAGUGAGUUAUCCUUCCACCAUGUUUUUGAUACGACGCGAGUCAACUUCUUCGUAAACUACGAAAAAUCGUCCAAAAUUGCAGUGAUCACGCUUAAUGUCUCGCAGCACUCGACACGAUCGCGUCUCCAGGUAUAACGUGACGACAUACAGAGUGCCUUACCCCGUGCCCGCCGGGUCGAGCCUCGCCGCGGGAAUAACAAGAUUUCAGAUCUAACCUUCCCAUCAAAGAUAUCUUUCCAAAAACUAGAAGAAAAUCGACGCUUUUAAAACAAAAAGGUUAUCAACAUUUUGUAUAGUACGGUUAGCUGGAAAUUAUUUUUAGAGAGCCAGAGAUUUAAUCAA